CCCCCAGUGAGAGUCGGCGCCACCAUGGAGGAGUACCACCGCCACUGCGACGAGGUUGGCUUCAGUGCUGAUGAAGCCCAUAAUAUCAUCAAAGAGUGUGUGGGUGGGGUAUUAGGUGGUGAGGGUUACAAUCAGAACAAUAUCAACCAGUGGACUGCAAGCAUAGUGGAGCAAUCACUCACACAUUUGGUUAAGCUGAGGAAAGCAUACAAAUACAUUGUGACUUGUGCAGUGGUCCAGCAGAGUGCAUAUGGCUUUCACACAGCCAGCUCAUGUUUUUGGGACACCACAUCUGCUGGAACCUGUACUGUAAGAUGGGAGAACCGAACCAUGAACUGCAUUGUCAAUGUUUUUGCCAUUGCAAUUGUCCUGUGACCAUCUAAAAA
Molecule: RNA transcript, 386 nt
Organism: Octodon degus (degu)
Lineage: Eukaryota; Metazoa; Chordata; Mammalia; Rodentia; Octodontidae
Gene name: dynein light chain Tctex-type 3 pseudogene
Exons: 1
Source: RefSeq, a predicted model, not a curated record